GAACGCGAAGAACCUUACCAGGUCUUGACAUUGAUGGACAGAACUAGAGAUAGUUCCUCUUCUUCGGAAGCCAGAAAACAGGUGGUGCACGGUUGUCGUCAGCUCGUGUCGUGAGAUGUUGGGUUAAGUCCCGCAACGAGCGCAACCCCUAUCUUAUGUUGCCAGCACUUUGGGUGGGAACUCAUGAGAGACUGCCGCAGACAAUGCGGAGGAAGGCGGGGAUGACGUCAAAUCAUCAUGCCCCUUAUGACCUGGGCUACACACGUACUACAAUGGGAGUUAAUAGACGGAAGCAAUACCGCGAGGUGGAGCAAACCCGAGAAACACUCUCUCAGUUCGGAUCGUAGGCUGCAACUCGCCUACGUGAAGUCGGAAUCGCUAGUAAUCGCAGGUCAGCAUACUGCGGUGAAUACGUUCCCGGGUCUUGUACACACC
This 435-nucleotide ribosomal RNA is filed under the name uncultured bacterium. Its description in RNAcentral is "bacterial SSU rRNA". It matches the Rfam family "Bacterial small subunit ribosomal RNA", at positions 957 to 1391 of the family's 1533-position model. The record is from RNAcentral.